UGUUAAGAAUUCUUUUGCAGUUUUGCAAUCAGGAAUUGAGCCCCUUAUCUUUUUGAAGAUAUGAUUUUGUAUGAGUAAAAGACUUAAGCGGUUUGACCGCUCCCACCUCUCAUACAACUUUUUCUCCUCUAGCGUAGUUUCCUCUGUAGGGACAGGUGGUAUGUCCUCACAAAGUGCCAGAUCAACAUCCAUGCACCCUAAAGUAAAUGUCAGUCUUUCUUUCCAUUUCGAGAAAUUUGAACCAUUAAGUAUUGGGAUGCAUGAUGUGGAUUGUGAAAAAACUGUCGGAAACAAAGCUGCAAAACAUAUGCUUACUAUCAA
Molecule: long non-coding RNA, 321 nt
Filed under: Phoenix dactylifera (date palm)
Lineage: Eukaryota; Viridiplantae; Streptophyta; Magnoliopsida; Arecales; Arecaceae
Description: long non-coding RNA (PDAC_LNC006971)
Source: RNAcentral